GACGAACGCUGGCGGCGUGCUUAACACAUGCAAGUCGAACGGAAAGGCCCUGCUUUUGUGGGGUGCUCGAGUGGCGAACGGGGGAGUAACACGUGAGUAACCUGCCCUUGACUUUGGGAUAACUUCAGGAAACUGGGGCUAAUACCGGAUAGGAGCUCCUGCUGCAUGGGGGGGGUUGGAAAGUUUCGGCGGUUGGGGAUGUACUCGCGGCUUAUCAGCCUGUUGGUGGGGUAGUGGCUUACCAAGGCUUUGACGGGUAGCCGGCCUGAGAGGGUGACCGGCCACAUUGGGACUGAGAUACGGCCCAGACUCCUACGGGCGGCAGCAGUGGGGAAUAUUGCACAAUGCGCGGAAGCCUGAUGCAGCAACGCCGCGUGCGGGAUGACGGCCUUCGGGUUGUAAACCGCUUUCGCCUGUGACGAAGCGUGAGUGACGGUAAUGGGUAAAGAAGCACCGGCUAACUACGU
This 467-nucleotide ribosomal RNA is filed under the name uncultured bacterium. RNAcentral's name for it is "partial 16S ribosomal RNA". It matches the Rfam family "Bacterial small subunit ribosomal RNA", at positions 28 to 506 of the family's 1533-position model. The record is from RNAcentral.